This 397-nucleotide long non-coding RNA is filed under the name Musa acuminata (dwarf banana). RNAcentral describes it as "long non-coding RNA (MACU_LNC007209)". The record is from RNAcentral. Lineage: Eukaryota; Viridiplantae; Streptophyta; Magnoliopsida; Zingiberales; Musaceae.
GAAAAGAAUUUUUAGAGAUCAGUGACAAGAAUGAUAAUGACAAGUUUACCAAUAAAAAUAUGAUUGGAAAUGAAUCAGAAAGUAAUAACAAGAGGGUCAAGACAUUUGGAUUUGAAAUGGGAAGUCACCAUAAAAGACUCAAUCAUGUGUGAAUUACAAGUUAAAUUAUGAAACAAAUUUAUGUUUUCGGGUGACUGGAGUCUAUUUUAUUUGUAGAAAGUUGGAUCAUAAAAUAAAAGACUACCCUUUGAACAAGAAGAAAGAGUCACUGCCUCUUAAAUCAUCAGCCCAUGUCAGAGUGUAUGCUAUCACUGAAUAUGAUUCUAAAACUUCUGAAUUAGUGAUCGAAGGUAUUAUGCAUGUUUAUGAAAGAAUGUAAAUAUUUGUUUGACCAUGG